Non-coding RNA from Ciona intestinalis (vase tunicate), 2784 nucleotides. Lineage: Eukaryota; Metazoa; Chordata; Ascidiacea; Phlebobranchia; Cionidae. The record is from RefSeq and is a predicted model, not a curated record.
AAACAUAUAGAUACGAAACUGGCGAAAAAGUUUAGACAGGUCACGCUUCACUGAAUCCGUGCUAAUUCCGAUUUCAUAAUAGCGUUGAAUUGCAGAACUGGCAGUUUGUUGAUUGUUAUUUUAAAUAUGUCGCACUGCUGUAUUCCUGGUUGCUCCUAUGAGUAUAAAAGCAAAAGUCCAAAACGUUCUCUAUUUAAAGUUUUGAGAGCCGAUCUGGCCAAAAAUGUAGAGGAGAGGAAGCACCGUGAAGAACUAGCACGGUGCGUUUUGUCUUACCGAGAUCCUGAUCCCGCGAAAGGAGACAGGAUAAAAGAUAUGUUACACAGAGAAAUGUAUGUUAUUGUUAUCUACGACUAAUGAGUAUAUACACAACUUGUAUUUAGUCAGUUUUUAACAAUUUAUUUAUUAAUAUGUGAGUUUCAUUACCUUCAAAUCAUGGUUGUAUAACUGGUUAUACAGGGCAUCUAUCUGUGAGGCACAUUUUAACCCGGAGGACAUUAAUGUGCAGUCUACUCGGAAAUCUUUAAAAAUUGGUGCUGUACCUUUGUUGAACAUGCCGAAAAAAUCAUGUUCUAUUCCAAAGAUAAAUGGUCAUUUUGUUAUCGGUUCGGAAAUUUUAUGGCUGAAAUGCAUUCACAAAACAGUGUGGAACCCAUUAUCAGUGUUUGCAUUGCUGUGGAUGUGACAGUGAGUUGGAUAUCAUUUCAUGGCUGGCGUGUUGAUCCCAGUCAUCUUUCCUUGCCCGAUAUCAGGAUUUCUACAUUAAAUUAUUUUUUGGAAGAAGUGAUGAAGUUUAAACUUUGUGAGGGUAUUGAUGAAAAAUACUCAACUCGGAACACAAAGCUUCAUCACCUACAAAACUGGAAUGGAAACUGCCUUUCAGCAAGGACUCUUACACGUUCUCCACUCUGUCAAGUAGCAUUUUUAGGCGAUGAACAAUGUUCUCAAUGUACAAAAUACCAGUACAAAUCCAAAUGCAACAAGAAAUAUUGUGACCGCAAACGUGAGGUGUCAGAGGAGGAGUUGGUUGAUAUCGAUGACAGCUUGCACUCAGACUUCAUGGACCUACUUCACUCAGAGAGUGGAGAUAUGAAUGAGUGGCAGCAGAUGUUCUUUCGUGAACAAAUCCAGAAUUCCAGGAAGUCUGCAUAUUGUCGUCGAUAUCAUCCAGAUGUUGUUAGAUGGGCAAUAGAGUUAUAUUCUCGUUCGCCUUCGGCCUAUCAACAUUUGAUUACGACCGAUGUGCUAAAGCUUCCAUCGUCACGAACUCUUCAAAAGUUCAGAAAUAUCGGAACAAAUGAACCAGGACUAAAUCAAAUUGCUGUGGAAGCUAUGAAAAAUCUUAAAUUCCCAGUAGAGGCUUACCUAACCGUGGAUGAAAUGAAAGUCAAAGAAAGCUUGGUAUAUAAGGACGGUCGGUUGGUUGGGUUUGUUGAUUUUGGUGACCGUUACACGCAAACAAAGAUUGCAACACACAUUUGCAUGUUUUAUAUACGAUCACUAAAAAAAGAAAUUUCAAUGCCAUUAUCAUGGUGGCCCACAACUACCACCCCUGCUUAUCAGUUGGCUUCCACAUUCUGGGACCUUGUUGGCACUUGUGAAAUGAACAGUGUUCAUGUAAAUGCAAUUGUUGCUGAUGCGGCCUCAGUUAAUCGGAAGUUUUUCAACCAUAUAUAUGGAGGAACGUACUCGUUGAGCAGGGCUGUUUAUACUGCACCAAACCCAUACCGACCAAGCCAUCCAAUUUUUAUUUUAAGUGAUCCAAGCCAUUUACUUAAGACAACUCGGAAUGGUUUGUACUCAUCCAAGCCUGGUGGUACUAAGUUUUUUGCUAAAUCUGGACGGGAUAUUUUAUGGACACACAUUCAAAACUUGUACAACCUAGAAUCAAAGAGUGUUCUUCAUAAAACCCGGCUUUCAAAUGUUCAUGUGGAUUUAAAUUCAUACUCUAAGAUGAAUGUAUCUCUUGCUCGCCAAAACUCUCCGUUGGGAUGUAGGAAAGGCUCUGCAGCAAGAUAUACCAAAUUCUGAUGGAACUGCAGAGUUGAUCCUACUGAUGGACAAGUGGUUUAAAAUCAUUACUUGCUCUGUAAAUAACUCCAUCCAUUCUGCAAAUGAUGAACGUCUUGAUUGGCUGGAUAAGAAAUUCGUUCAAUAUCUUUUGGAUUGGCAAGUAAGUGUUCAAAGAAGUUGGGUAUGGUGUGACUGCGAUUUCGCAACGCAAAGCAAUAAAACAAAUUAAAGGUGGAAACACUACUCACGGCACAAAAAAUGUAUGGACAUCUGUCUGUAAUGAACCUUUGACCAAAAAGGUUAAACCAAACCAGCCACAGUGAGCCUGCUGGUGGUACAGGUGAUACCCCCUCCUUUGAGGGGCUAAUACCCAAACACUUGUUUGGGGGGGACUGGGAAGCCACUGAUUAAAAUUAAAACAAGAAAUACACUGUGCAAACGUGUGCUACUGUUUUUUAUUCAGUUUUUUUAACUCGCCUCUAAUUCCUUUUGACUGCUUGGUGUUCAAUGAACAAAUAUUUUGAAACAAUGAUUUCGCAAAAUUGUGACCCAAAACUUUAACAAAUAAAUGCAUAAUAUAAUUAACAACUUGUUUAAGAACAUCACAAUCUUGCUUCCAUUUUCCAUUAAAAACAUUAAAAAAAGUAUUAUAUUCUUGGUCAUUAUUAAAGAAUUCUAAAAUAUAAAACAAAUUGACUUGAUCUGGUACCUUGGCAGUUUCUAUUUUAUAAAGUGAAAACAGCUUUUGGGUGAAUAACUGGAAAUCUAAAC